This 206-nucleotide unclassified non-coding RNA is filed under the name Hevea brasiliensis (rubber tree). The record is from RNAcentral. Lineage: Eukaryota; Viridiplantae; Streptophyta; Magnoliopsida; Malpighiales; Euphorbiaceae.
GAUGAGUUUGAGUUUUAAAAAUAUUAAUUUAGUUCGAGUUCGAAUAAGUUAAUUUUUUAUGAAUACUCUACUUUCUAAGGGCUUUGAACUGGAACUGAAAAAAAAAAGUUGUUAUAAGAACUGAAUCGAACUUAUUUUAUUAUUUUAGUUCGGUUUUGAUUUUUUAUUAAAAAUCAAAUUAAAAUUAAACCAAAAUCAAAUUGAAA